GGACUUGUAGCUCAGUUGGUUGCAUAGGAAAGCGCAGCUUUUCUAUGCCGUAGAGAGCAACAGACUCAUAAUCUGGAGGUCCCAGGUUCAAGCCCUGGCUGGUCCACAA
Molecule: transfer RNA, 109 nt
Filed under: Phocaeicola salanitronis DSM 18170
Lineage: Bacteria; Pseudomonadati; Bacteroidota; Bacteroidia; Bacteroidales; Bacteroidaceae
Description: Bacteroides salanitronis DSM 18170 tRNA-Met
Rfam family: tRNA
About the family: Transfer RNA (tRNA) molecules are approximately 80 nucleotides in length. Their secondary structure includes four short double-helical elements and three loops (D, anti-codon, and T loops). Further hydrogen bonds mediate the characteristic L-shaped molecular structure. tRNAs have two regions of fundamental functional importance: the anti-codon, which is responsible for specific mRNA codon recognition, and the 3' end, to which the tRNAs corresponding amino acid is attached (by aminoacyl-tRNA synthetases). tRNAs cope with the degeneracy of the genetic code in two manners: having more than one tRNA (with a specific anti-codon) for a particular amino acid; and 'wobble' base-pairing, i.e. permitting non-standard base-pairing at the 3rd anti-codon position.
Source: RNAcentral